GCAAGAGGUCCGCACGAACCGCCGGCAGGGGCGGGGGACCCAAUCUGGGCACUUCGGUGUCCUUGGGGUGAAGCCCCGUCGCAGACCUCGGUCUGGGACAGGGCCGGGUGUUCUCCCAUCCGAACCCGACAGCUGACCUCGUAGGCGACUAGGAGAACGCGC
This 162-nucleotide small RNA is filed under the name Cellulomonas sp. RNAcentral describes it as "c-di-AMP sequence". It matches the Rfam family "c-di-AMP riboswitch aptamer (ydaO/yuaA leader)". Rfam says of the family: This family represents a conserved RNA structure found upstream of the ydaO and yuaA genes in Bacillus subtilis and related genes in other bacteria. The ydaO/yuaA element is thought to act as a genetic "off" switch for the ydaO and yuaA genes in its native state. Lineage: Bacteria; Bacillati; Actinomycetota; Actinomycetes; Micrococcales; Cellulomonadaceae. The record is from RNAcentral.